This 423-nucleotide ribosomal RNA is filed under the name uncultured bacterium. RNAcentral's name for it is "bacterial SSU rRNA". It matches the Rfam family "Bacterial small subunit ribosomal RNA", at positions 207 to 622 of the family's 1533-position model. The record is from RNAcentral.
AAGACCUUGCGCUUUUGGAGCGGCCGAUGCCUGAUUAGCUUGUUGGUAAGGUAAAAGCUUACCAAGGCUUCGAUCAGUAGCUGGUCUGAGAGGACGGCCAGCCACACUGGGACUGAGACACGGCCCAGACUCCUACGGGAGGCAGCAGUGGGGAAUUUUGGACAAUGGGGGCAACCCUGAUCCAGCCAUGCCGCGUGAGUGAAGAAGGCCUUCAGGUUGUAAAGCUCUUUCAGCCGGAACGAAACGGUUACGGUUAAUACCCGUGACUACUGACGGUACCGGAAGAAGAAGCACCGGCUAACUACGUGCCAGCAGCCGCGGUAAUACGUAGGGUGCGAGCGUUAAUCGGAAUUACUGGGCGUAAAGCGUGCGCAGGUGGUUUUGUAAGUCAGAUGUGAAAGCCCCGGGCUCAACCUGGGAACU